UCCAGACUGGGUAAGGCAAAGUACAAGAUAAGAAAAGAAGGGAGAGCAAAUACAAAGGUGAUAAGGAUGUAGAGUGACAAGAUGGCUGCACUGGCCGGUAUUGCAUACAAAACAAUCAGAAGAAAUAUGACAAUCAAUGGAAACUUAGCUGUCAAGUGAACAAAGAAAACCAACGACUUGCGAAAGGAUAACUGAAGUCUCUCAGCAUUGAAGUAUCUAAUGUUAAGGCGACCUUCGUCAUGGUUAGAUGCUGCUUGUUCUGGAGGACAAGGAUAUGAGGCUCGCCUGUUGCUCAUAUGGGUAACUUGAUUGCCCAUGGCUUGAUUUCUUUUUGAAGAAGAAACAGGCUGAUGAUCCCCACGAAAGGAGAAAUAUGACUUUGACCUAUCACCAUUCAUGCCCUCAACCAUCCAAAGUAGAAAGUAGUUCUUCCGAGGAAACCUGAGGUGUCCUUUGUGGACCAAUCUGAAAGAUAAUAGAUUACACCAAGGACAAGA
RNAcentral lists this unclassified non-coding RNA (497 nucleotides) under Hevea brasiliensis (rubber tree). The record is from RNAcentral. Lineage: Eukaryota; Viridiplantae; Streptophyta; Magnoliopsida; Malpighiales; Euphorbiaceae.